Molecule: ribosomal RNA, 253 nt
Filed under: uncultured bacterium
Lineage: Bacteria
Description: partial 16S ribosomal RNA
Rfam family: Bacterial small subunit ribosomal RNA
Source: RNAcentral
UACGUAGGGUGCGAGCGUUGUCCGGAAUUACUGGGCGUAAAGAGCUCGUAGGUGGUUUGUCGCGUUGUCCGUGAAAACUCACAACUCAAUUGUGGGCGUGCGGGCGAUACGGGCAGACUGGAGUACUGCAGGGGAGACUGGAAUUCCUGGUGUAGCGGUGGAAUGCGCAGAUAUCAGGAGGAACACCGGUGGCGAAAGCAGGUACCUGGACCAUUACUGACGCUCAGCUGCGAAAGCUAGGGGAGCAAACAGG